This 308-nucleotide ribosomal RNA is filed under the name uncultured eukaryote. RNAcentral's name for it is "partial 18S ribosomal RNA". It matches the Rfam family "Eukaryotic small subunit ribosomal RNA", at positions 1470 to 1796 of the family's 1831-position model. The record is from RNAcentral.
CCCUUAGACGUCCUGGGCCGCACGCGCGCUACACUGACGAAGGCAACGAGCUUUCCUUUACCGAAAGGUACGGGUAAUCUUUUGAAACUUCGUCGUGCUGGGGAUAGAUCCUUGCAAUUAUUGAUCUUAAACGAGGAAUUCCUAGUAAGCGCAAGUCAUCAACUUGCGUUGAUUACGUCCCUGCCCUUUGUACACACCGCCCGUCGCUACUACCGAUUGAAUGGUUUAGUGAGGCCUUCGGAUCCGCGACUCGUUUUGUGGAGAAGUUGGACAAACUCAGUCAUUUAGAGGAAGUAAAAGUCGUAACA